Molecule: non-coding RNA, 111 nt
Filed under: Ananas comosus (pineapple)
Lineage: Eukaryota; Viridiplantae; Streptophyta; Magnoliopsida; Poales; Bromeliaceae
Source: RNAcentral
GUGGUGGCAGAAAGCUCGAGGCGACAACUGCAUAUCAUGCAAGAGGGUUGAGUGAGGAGCUUACCGAUGGCUCUCUUGCAAGUUGUGCAGUUGCUGCCUCAAGCUUCCUGC